AAAGCAUGCCUCUACAUCUAUCCUCUGAAUAAGGCUGGUUUUUCGUUUUAUAGGCCACUUUUUUUAAACCUAAAUCAGUAUAUAUAUAUAUUUAUUUAUAUAUUUGUAAUUUUUUAAAAUGUAUUUUAGUAUGUAAUCUCUACAUUUUGAGUUAAAGCGACUCAUAAACAGAGCUGAUGGUUUAUUGAAUUUGUAUUAUGGCCUUUGACUAGAACACAAUGAACGACAGAAGGAUCGAGGGAUCAAAUUAGUGCAGGAGUUUAUUUUUAUUUUUUAUAAGCUGAUACAAGUAUAAUAAGGGUUUUUGGUCUUCUGGGAUGUUAUUCAGUCUCAGCACCAUUAAUGUGUAAGGUGUAGUGUCUGCAGUGGGUCUGUUACUCUAUACACACACACACACACACACACACACACACACACACACACACACACACACACACACACACACACACACACAUAUUUAUAUAUUUAUUGCUAUGGAUUUUCCUUUCGAUCUGAACUCCUUGUUUCUGGAGAGAAUCUCAGUGCUGGAUCACAAUCUGUGUGCUGUCCGGAAAGGAAGACCUGAAGCCCUGAAUCAGAUUACCAGGGUUAUUAAUGAAUUAGGGAAAGCUUCAGCCAAGGCCCAGAAUCUGCCUGCACCAAUAACAAGUGCAGAAAAGCUUCAGGCCAACAGACACUACCUCUACCUGCUGAAGGACGGAGAGAGAAACGGAGGCCGUGGAGUUGCAGUAGGAUAUCUGAAGGUCGGAUACAAGAAGCUCUUUCUGCUUGACCAGAGGGGGGCGCAUUUGGAGACCGAGCCUUUGUGUGUGCUGGAUUUUUAUGUGACUGAGAGUUUGCAGAGACACGGAUACGGUUUGGAGCUGUUCCACUUCAUGCUGGAACACAAGAAGGUGGAGCCUGAACAGAUGGCGUAUGACAGACCUUCCUCGAAAUUCCUGGCCUUUCUAGAGAAACACUUCGAUCUUAAGCACAGUGUACCUCAGGUGAAUAACUUUGUGGUGUUUGAGGGUUUCUUCAGGAACAGAUCAGGCGCUCCAUCUUCCCCUGUGACGGAUCAGGGGAUGUACGGCUUUUUCGGCUCAGUCGAGAAAAGCUCCUCCAAAAAAGCCAGAGGGAGAGAUCAAACCCUAUUCACUAAUGGAGAGAGAGGCGGUGAGAGAGGAGCAGAAGGCUCUCCCGUGGCCUUUCAUCCGCUCCACGGCCGUUCCUCAAUCUCCUCCUCUGGUGGCAUCCUCCCCGUUCUCUCGCUCCCUGAGCGUGGGAUCGUCCCCCAACCGCACUCCUCAUCCUCAACCUCACAUCCCUCCACACCUGGCCGAAAACUGCCGGACAAAACGCACCAGUUCUCUAAAUAGAUCCCAGCUCGGCUUUCACUGACCUUUCAACUUUUAACGUAGAAUUUUAACAGGCUUGAAGAUGGCCACAUUUGAACCUUUUAGUGUUUGUUGUUUGGUUGUGUGAUUUAGGUCAUAUAAGGAUGUGGAAAUCGCUGAAAUCGUUCUUUCAGGGAUGUGAGAAUACGAACCCUGGUUUUUGUUUUGUUUUUUAAUAAUAUGGCACCGAAUGAGAAAAGGAAGUAACUUGUAACUUAAAGAGUAGAUAGGUUUUUGAAAUUUCCCUGUGUUUACUUCAUCAAGGAACAAACCUGUUAGUAAUCACAAAAGUGUCAAAUCUCCCUAAAAUCCUCACUGAGGUUUAUGUUUAAUAAAUCUGUCCUGAACCUGUGGCUACUUCUGCUUUUAACUCUUAACAUUUUGACCUCCAAUAAAAAACAGUUCAAUAAAAAUGUCACUAAGAAGUCAGUCUGUGCCUUCCCUGAGCUCAUUAAAAGAAGACUCAAACAUGAAGAAUACACAAAGUGCGAUGUUAAAGUUAAGUCGAAACGUUCCACAGUCAUUGCAUUCCUUCUUAUUUGUUAUGUCCAUGAAGUAUAACAAGUUUGAGUUUUCUAAUUGUUUUAUUUAUUUAUUUAUUUAUUUAUUUUUCCUCUUAUCUCCGGUCAUCCUCUUUCUUUACGGCAUGACGCUGCAUUCCUUCAUCCCUUCCCCUCCAUGUGUGUCCACUUUCCCUGUCAUCACCUUUAGUGCUCAGGGUUUGGUUGCCAGAAACAACCUCUACAGUCGUCAUGUGAACAGCAGAGGCCUCGGGCUCUUAAUGGCAGAACAGCUGAAGCUGCCAGGGCUGAAGCCAGUGCUCAGUGAGAGUGUGUGUGAAGCAGUGGGACACACAAACAC
Tachysurus fulvidraco (yellow catfish) is the source of this 2237-nucleotide RNA transcript. It is a transcript of the gene named alpha tubulin acetyltransferase 1, with no coding region annotated. The transcript is spliced from 12 exons. The record is from RefSeq and is a predicted model, not a curated record. NCBI's taxonomy places the organism in Eukaryota, Metazoa, Chordata, Actinopteri, Siluriformes, Bagridae.